RNAcentral lists this transfer RNA (73 nucleotides) under Ovis aries (sheep). It matches the Rfam family "tRNA". Rfam says of the family: Transfer RNA (tRNA) molecules are approximately 80 nucleotides in length. Their secondary structure includes four short double-helical elements and three loops (D, anti-codon, and T loops). The record is from Rfam by way of RNAcentral. Lineage: Eukaryota; Metazoa; Chordata; Mammalia; Artiodactyla; Bovidae.
UCUCUGGUGGUCCAGUGGCUAAGACUCUGCACUCCCAAUGCAGGGGGUCUGGGUUCGAUCCCUGGUCAGAGAA